UGAAUGGCAAAACGAAAGCUCAACUGUCUCCCUAGACUAAUCAAUGAAAUUGAUCUUUCCGUGCAGAAGCGGAAAUAUUUUUAUAAGACAAAAAGACCCUAUGGAGCUUCAAAUUUAAAUUAAUUAUACAUAAUAAAAAUAUAAUGCAUAAUUUAGUGUAAAAUUUUAGGUUGGGGCGACCACGGAGUAAACUACAACCUCCGAGAUAAAUAAUUAAGAAAGACAUUUCAAGAUAAUAAAACAGUUAGUACACUUGAUCCAAUUUUUGAUCAACGAACCAAGUUACCCUAGGGAUAACAGCGCAAUCCUCUUAAAGAGUUCAUAUCGACAAGGGGGUUUACGACCUCGAUGUUGGAUCAGGGCCCCCUAAUGGUGCAGCAACUAUUAAGGGUUCGUUUGUUCAACGAUUAAAGCCCUACGUGAUCUGAGUU
This 431-nucleotide ribosomal RNA is filed under the name Speleomantes flavus (Monte Albo cave salamander). RNAcentral's name for it is "Hydromantes flavus (Monte Albo cave salamander) partial 16S ribosomal RNA". It matches the Rfam family "Bacterial large subunit ribosomal RNA", at positions 1993 to 2611 of the family's 2925-position model. Lineage: Eukaryota; Metazoa; Chordata; Amphibia; Caudata; Plethodontidae. The record is from RNAcentral.